Molecule: ribosomal RNA, 253 nt
Filed under: uncultured bacterium
Lineage: Bacteria
Description: partial 16S ribosomal RNA
Rfam family: Bacterial small subunit ribosomal RNA
Source: RNAcentral
UACGUAGGGAGCAAGCGUUGUUCGGAUUUACUGGGCGUAAAGGGCGCGUAGGCGGCGCAACAAGUCACUUGUGAAAUCUCCGGGCUUAACCCGGAGCGGCCAAGUGAUACUGUCGUGCUAGAGUGCGGAAGGGGCUACUGGAAUUCUCGGUGUAGCGGUGAAAUGCGCAGAUAUCGGGAGGAACACCAGUGGCGAAGGCGGCACUCUGGGCCGGUACUGACGCUGAGGAGCGAAAGCGUGGGGAGCGAACAGG